RNAcentral lists this unclassified non-coding RNA (413 nucleotides) under Acacia ulicifolia. RNAcentral's name for it is "partial miscellaneous RNA". The record is from RNAcentral. Lineage: Eukaryota; Viridiplantae; Streptophyta; Magnoliopsida; Fabales; Fabaceae.
GGUCUUAAUGUAUACGAGUUUUUGAACGUAAAGGAGCAAUAAUUAAUUUAUUGUUCUAUCAAGAGGGUUAAUAUUGCUCCUUUACUUUUACUUUUUAGUAGUUUCAUACAUCAAUUUUGUAUUUACUUCAACAUUCUUUACCAUUGUUUUAAGAUAAAAAAAAUAUUGGAGUUUCUUACUUUUUGUUUAUUUUUUACUAAUUUAUUUUAUACGUUUUUCUCAACAAUCUUUCUUUAUCUUUUGAAAUGAAAAAUAAAAAAAAAUAAGAAAUGAAUGUUUUAAUUCUAGUCUAUUGUAUCUUAGAAGACGAGUAAAAACUUCAAAAUAAUGAAAAAAAAAAAAAAAAAAUACAAAUGGAAAUUUCUGUAAUUUUUAAAUAGUAAAGGGGCGGAUGUCGGCAAGUGGAUCAAGGG